GACGAACGCUGGCGGCGUGCUUAACACAUGCAAGUCGAACGGAAAGGCCCUGCUUUUGUGGGGUGCUCGAGUGGCGAACGGGUGAGUAACACGUGAGUAACCUGCCCUUGACUUUGGGAUAACCUCAGGAAACUGGGGCUAAUACCGGAUAGGAGCUCCUGCUGCAUGGUGGGGGUUGGAAAGUUUCGGCGGUUGGGGAUGGACUCGCGGCUUAUCAGCUUGUUGGUGGGGUAGUGGCUUACCAAGGCUUUGACGGGUAGCCGGCCUGAGAGGGUGACCGGCCACAUUGGGACUGAGAUACGGCCCAGACUCCUACGGGAGGCAGCAGUGGGGAAUAUUGCACAAUGGGCGGAAGCCUGAUGCAGCAACGCCGCGUGCGGGAUGACGGCCUUCGGGUUGUAAACCGCUUUCGCCUGUGACGAAGCGUGAGUGACGGUAAUGGGUAAAGAAGCACCGGCUAACUACGUGCCAGCAGCCGCGGUGAUACGUAGGGUGCGAGCGUUGUCCGGAUUUAUUGGGCGUAAAGGGCUCGUAGGUGGUUGAUCGCGUCGGAAGUGUAAUCUUGGGGCUUAACCCUGAGCGUGCUUUCGAUACGGGUUGACUUGAGGAAGGUAGGGGAGAAUGGAAUUCCUGGUGGAGCGGUGGAAUGCGCAGAUAUCAGGAGGAACACCAGUGGCGAAGGCGGUUCUCUGGGCCUUUCCUGACGCUGAGGAGCGAAAGCGUGGGGAGCGAACAGGCUUAGAUACCCUGGUAGUCCACGCUGUAAACGGUGGGUACUAGGUGUGGGGUCCAUUCCCACGGGUUCCGUGCCGUAUCUAACGCUUUAAGUACCCCGCCUGGGGAGUACGGCCGCAAGGCUAAUACUCAAAGGAAUUGACGGGGCCCCGCACAAGCGGCGGAGCAUGCGGAUUAAUUCGAUGCAACGCGUAGAACCUUACCUGGGUUUGACAUGUAUCGGGAGUGCUCAGAGAUGGGUGUGCCUCUUUUGGGGUCCGUUCACAGGUGGUGCAUGGCUGUCGUCAGCUCGUGUCUUGAGAUGUUGGGUUAAGUCCCGCAUCGAGCGCAACCCCUUGUUCUCUGUUGCCAGCACGUUUUGGUGGGGACUCAGUGGAUACCCGUCCGGCUCAACUCAGUAGGAUGGUGGCGACGACGUCUACUCCUCGUGCCCCCUUAUGCCCUGUUCUUCAUCUUUGCUAAUAUGGCGUGGUACCAGAGAGUGGCGAGCCUGUUAGGUUGAGCGAAUCUCCGAAGGGCGGUCUCUAGUUCCGGAUUGGGGUCUGCACUUCAACCUCCUGAAGUCCGAGUUCGCAAGUCAUCCCUUAUCCCAUCUCUGCGAUUAAUACUUUCCGGGGUCU
Molecule: ribosomal RNA, 1355 nt
Filed under: uncultured bacterium
Lineage: Bacteria
Description: bacterial SSU rRNA
Rfam family: Bacterial small subunit ribosomal RNA
Source: RNAcentral